CCUACGGGUGGCAGCAGUGAGGAAUAUUGGUCAAUGGCCGGAAGGCUGAACCAGCCAUGCCGCGUGAAGGUCAGUGCCCUAUGGGCGUUAAACUUCUUUUGUGCGGGAGCAAUAAUGGUCACGUGUGGCCAGACGAGAGUACCGUACGAAUAAGCAUCGGCUAACUCCGUGCCAGCAGCCGCGGUAAUACGGGGGAUGCAAGCGUUAUCCGGAUUUAUUGGGUUUAAAGGGUGCGUAGGCUGUGAGGUAAGUCAGCGGUGAAAUGCACCCGUGCAACGGGGUGAAGUGCCAUUGAUACUGCCUUGCUGGAAUGCGGAUGCCGUGGGAGGAAUGUGUGGUGUAGCGGUGAAAUGCAUAGAUAUCACACAGAACACCGAUUGCGAAGGCAGCUCACGAAACCGCGAUUGACGCUGAUGCACGAAAGCGUGGGUAUCAAACAGGAUUAGAUACCCCUGUAGUC
RNAcentral lists this ribosomal RNA (460 nucleotides) under uncultured bacterium. Its description in RNAcentral is "partial 16S ribosomal RNA". It matches the Rfam family "Bacterial small subunit ribosomal RNA", at positions 338 to 795 of the family's 1533-position model. The record is from RNAcentral.